This 451-nucleotide ribosomal RNA is filed under the name uncultured bacterium. RNAcentral's name for it is "partial 16S ribosomal RNA". It matches the Rfam family "Bacterial small subunit ribosomal RNA", at positions 28 to 507 of the family's 1533-position model. The record is from RNAcentral.
GAUGAACGCUGGCGGCGUGCCUAACACAUGCGAGUCGAGCGGCAGCGAGGGGUGCUUGCACCCUGUCGGCGAGCGGCGGACGGCUGAGUAACGCGUGGGAACGUGCCCCAAAGUGAGGAAUAACUGCCCGAAAGGGUAGCUAAUACCGCAUAUUAUCUUCGGAUCAAAGGAUUUAUCCGCUUUGGGAGCGGCUCGCGUCGGAUUAGGUAGUUGGUGAGGUAAUGGCUCACCAAGCCGACGAUCCGUAGCUGGUCUGAGAGGAUGACCAGCCAGACUGGAACUGAGACACGGUCCAGACUCCUACGGGAGGCAGCAGUGAGGAAUCUUCCACAAUGGGCGAAAGCCUGAUGGAGCAACGCCGCGUGCAGGACGAAGGCCUUCGGGUUGUAAACUGCUUUUAUAUGUGAGGAAUAUGACGGUAACUUAUGAAUAAGGAUCGGCUAACUACGUG